UACGUAGGUGGCAAGCGUUGUCCGGAUUUACUGGGUGUAAAGGGCGUGCAGCCGGGCUGACAAGUCAGAUGUGAAAUCCCGCGGCUCAACCGCGGAACUGCAUUUGAAACUGUCAGUCUUGAGUACCGGAGAGGUCAUCGGAAUUCCUUGUGUAGCGGUGAAAUGCGUAGAUAUAAGGAGGAACACCAGUGGCGAAGGCGGCCUGCUGGGCUUUUACUGACGCUGAGGCUCGAAAGUGUGGGGAGCAAACAGG
Molecule: ribosomal RNA, 253 nt
Filed under: uncultured Oscillospira sp.
Lineage: Bacteria; Bacillati; Bacillota; Clostridia; Eubacteriales; Oscillospiraceae
Description: partial 16S ribosomal RNA
Rfam family: Bacterial small subunit ribosomal RNA
Source: RNAcentral